AUUGAAUACAAGGGUUAAUUUCACGUCAUUUCAUUUCUGACCCUGGUUUCGAGUUACAGUGUACUCUGAGGGCAAUAUUCUCAUGCUGUAAGUAGUGGUUGUGAAAUGGGCGUUUCUUUAUCGGUGUAAAUUUUUGGUUACGUAAUCACAAGGUAGCCUGUACCACACCUCGUGCAGUUUCCGCUUGCGUGCGGAAAAUAUAGCGGCGCGUGACAAACGCUCAUGGUCGUUUGGCGUGGUGAUGCGAGUUUGGAGAGUCGGUGCAAACUGAAUUGUACGCCGUGUUGCUCGCCUUGGAUUCCUGUGCCGAAGGACUUCCCACCCUCCAAUACAGCUUUUCCCGCAUUGCUAUGAGCUCACCAUGUGACCACAUUGUUGCAGUAGCGUACCACACGGCACCCUAUGGACUGCUGGGCGUCAACACAGUUCCUCCUCUUCUGUACUGAAAGGGAUGAGACUUGUCAAUGAUGGAAGACCUCGGGACUGAAUUCAGGGGGUGAUAUCUUGAAAAUGGGAGCGCUCCGGUUCAGAACUAAUGAGGCUGCAUGCGGGGUUUGUUUGGACUGGAAAGGGAACACUUUAAAGCAGUUGCAGUCACUGCUUGGGAAAGAAAAAAACAGCUGCCAUUUUGAAUAUCAAAAGAACCGAACAGUCCAAUUUAAGGAGAGAGAAAGAUUAAAAUCACUGGAGGUUAGCAUAAAAACAAUGUUGCUGUCUAAAUGUGUUGUAUAAUGUGAUGCAUCUUUUUUUUGUAAAGCUUUAUUUAAAAUAAAGGUGUUAAUUGUGUAAUGUAACUCUGAUGU
This is a long non-coding RNA of Cyprinus carpio (common carp), 803 nucleotides long. NCBI's taxonomy places the organism in Eukaryota, Metazoa, Chordata, Actinopteri, Cypriniformes, Cyprinidae. The record is from Ensembl.